Long non-coding RNA from Lepus europaeus (European hare), 6843 nucleotides. RefSeq lists it as uncharacterized. The transcript has 6 exons. Lineage: Eukaryota; Metazoa; Chordata; Mammalia; Lagomorpha; Leporidae. The record is from RefSeq and is a predicted model, not a curated record.
CCGUGGGCGUCCGGUGAUCUUGAGGCGUGCCUGUAGCGUUUACUGCCGGGACGUUCUCCCAACCGGCUGCCGCUCCGCCCAGGUCCAGACCCCACCCGGCUGCCCGAAUUGCGCAAUCCGUAGCUGGGGAAGCGCUACGUGGAAACCUGUCUGAGUAGAUGCCGAGCCUAGAAAAGGAGAGGUAGAAGGCGGAGUGAAAAGUGGAGGGAUCGCGGGAGCCGCAGUCCUGCGCCGACACCUGCGGGGCGCUAGCUGCCGGGGUGAGCCUGUGUGUGUCAUCGCUGAUGCUUAAUCCUGAGGGCGCGGACUCCAGAGCCCGGCCGCCUGGGCUCACACCUUGCCUUUUUCUCUCUGGCUUUGAGACUUGAAUCUCCACAGGCCGAUUUGAGACGCAGGUGGUUGUCUCUCCAGUGAGCAGACGUGUGGACGAGUUCCCUCCCGGCCCUCUCCGGGUAAAAGUCCAGGUCCUUAGAACUGAGUGCGUCGGCCCGUCAUGCACCGCCACAGGGCUGUCUGUGCCCUUGCCAUCACUUCCCCUCCUGCAGCUCUUCGCUCAGACUCGGUGAGGUCCAUCCUGGCUACCCUCCUGGAAAUCACAACCGUCCUAGCACCUCUAUCCUGAUCGUUUUUCCUAUAGCGUUUAUCACCUAAUUUUACCAUCUAAUGGACAUGUUUACUGUGUGUAUCAACCUUCUCCCUUUCCAUUAAGCCCCUGACUGAAGCUACACAAAGGCGUGGAUUUUGUUUUGUUCCCCGGUGUAUCCCCUGCACCUAAGAAACGCUCCUGGCACAUCGCAGGCAAUAUAGUGAAUAUUCGUCAGAUGGGUACAUGUGUUUCCAGCUCCUCAGCACUAACGUGGGCGUACAAUGGCACCCAACUCGUUGGUUUUUGGAGGGGAGUUCAAUAAGGUGUCCUGAAAGCAGACACAGAAAUGGAAGCAGGAGUACAAAAUGCUGUUUUAGUGACUAUCAACUAGUGAAAAAUGAAGAAGAGGAAGCAGAAUUUGGCAAGGAAGCCUGCAGACCGUGAUGCUGGUAUGUUUCCUGUGCAAGGAAAAGGGAAGGAAUGGAAUUGGGCAGAGGAAGAAUUGAACUGUGAUAUGGAUCUGAUGGAAUCUCGGCAACCCCAUGGGCAGCUCUGGAGUAAAGAUUGCCCAUUGCAACAGGCACUGUUCGGACAGAAUUGCCCGACUCUGAUACCUAGAGCAUGCUCAGUUCCUCAGGGCUGUUCUGGAAGCCCCGCCAGCUAACUGCACUGGAGUGUUCACGUGGCACCCUGCAGAGUGAGAGCCUGUUCCUGCAGAGUGGAUAGUGAGAGAGAGAGAGACAGAGAGAAAGGCACUUGGAUUUUUAAUCUUGGAAAUGUGCCAGCUUAUUCCUCAAGGGUGAAAUGCGGCCAGUGUUACCAAUGGAAGAUUAAAAAAGCAGAAAGACCAAGACCUAAUACAAAGCCCAGGAACGAGAGGUCAUGGCUCUGGCUAGAUACCCACUUACAUCACUGGGCAGAUACUUGGCAUCUUAAUCUGCAACAUCAGCAUUGAGAUAAACAGUGACUUCACAGCGAUCGCCAAGGACAAUGGGCACUAUUUUGAUGGGCAUUAUGUACAUCCGAAGUAGAUUGCUUUGCUUUGUAAUGCAGAGCAGGAACUGGAGCACUUCUUGUGUACUUGACUUUGCAACAAAGUUCGAUAUGGCAAGGAAGAGAUCUGAGAGCGGAUGGACUCUGGUUUCUCCAGUUAAAAUGAGGACAGAAAUAGAAGAGCAGCACUCAGCUUCGCCUCGAAGCCUGGGGAAGCAGCAAGCGCUCCAAGGCCCGAAUCCGCCCUGGGGCCAUUCAAUUGGCUGUCUCUUGGACGACACUUAAUAUCCAGCAGAAGGCCUUCACUGCGAGCCAGAGCAAAAGUUUUUCUUUUCGGUGGUGUUGAACAUUGUCUCGAGAGCAGCUGGAGAAAUUGAGUCAAGCGAGCAAGAACUAUGUCUGGGUCUCACAGUUGGUCUGCGGCCAACUCCUGGCAGAAGCAAAUCUCCUGAGGGUUGAGCUAAAUGUCCCAGAUUAGGUUUGGGGUGUGCAAAAUCCUCCUCCUACCCCCUUGCAGGAGACACAUUCCAGCCAAUGGACAUCAUGACACACCCAGUCCAGCAAAUGGACAAGACAUCAUGACACACCCAGUCCAGCUAAUGGACAAGGUAUCACCACCUUGAGUCAACCAGGCUGCAUCUUCCACGUUUCUUUGCUGCAGGCCAACUUUUCACCCCAAAGAGUCAAUGUUCUUAAGGAGCAAUCGGAUUAAACAAGUUAAGGUCGCAGGCUCUGGGCCUCCCUGCAAACCUCACGGAGUCGGACACAAGGAGUUUGCCUGGCUGCAACGUGCCCCAAGCCCGAGGGGAAUGUAUAGGGAUUUCCUAGCUGGUCCCAAAAGCGUUCUGAUGUCCUUUCCCACAGACAGGAGCUUGAUCAUCUCCGCCUUUCAACUGAGCUCAUCAGGGACUUAGGAAUCAAAGGAAAUCGCGGAUGUAGGCCUUGGCCCCACACAGCCCAGAGCUGUAAGCUAAACACACCCACAAGAGACCGACAUGUGUCUGAGCAGGAAACCUCAGAGGAAUGCAUUAACAUCCCGGUCAGAGUUUCCAUCUGGCUGGCGUGCUCAGCGCAGAAGCCGCCUGUGCUGGCUGCCCCCUCCCUCUGGCUCUGCCUGGUGCCAGUCCUGAGCCAGCGUGGGCGGAGGCGAAACGUGUGUUGAUCAUCUCCCUGCCUGAGCACGGUCUCGGAGCCCCAGGUCUGGGGCUUGGUGUUCCAGCCUCUGUCCUUCGGGUGAUUUGCGGUGACAACCGUGCCCUGAGCUAGGCAUGCCAGGGUGAACCCUCUACAGACAAGUGAGAGCGAAGGCCUACAUCAAUCCUCUAGCUGACGCCCUCCCCAACCUGUCUCUUCUGUUUUGGCAAUGCUGCCGCCGUACACUUCCUGAUCGGCUACUCUGGCACCAGCCGCUUUGGAAUCCCACUUUGCCGGGCACUGUUCCCUCUCCAGAAGCGAUGACUACAGUUGAUUUUGUUUCUGUUGACAGUUCCCUCCUCCCAGCUCGUGUCCUUCCUCUGCCCACGUGCGCAGUGUGCUCAUUACGGUCUUGCGCUCUAGUUGCAUAUUAACUCGUCUGUCUUCCUGGAGGGGCUGUGAGCUCCACGGAGCAGCAAGCUUCUUAUUGGUGUCUCUUCUGGUCCCCAGCACCUAGCACAGCACUCAGCGUAACCUAGCCAUGUUUAACGUAGAGCCGAUGCAAGAAAGCAUAAAUGAAAAGAUAACAUCCCAUUCCUGCCGAAGGGAGCGAUCCCUCACUUGACAUUGCCAGCGCACAUCCACCUGCGCUCAUUUAGCUGAAAGCUCAGUGCAGACCAACUCUGGGAGAAUUUUGUCACUUCUAGACAACAGCAGAGGUCUUUACAAAGACACGGCUCGUUGCAAAAGAGGUAUUGUCACAGAUAUACGUCCCUUUGGUUUGUUGGGCAGUUAUAUGUAAUUCACCAUUCUACCAACUAAUCAAGUCUUCAGUUGCCACAAGUAAAAAAAAUUAUAUUUCAGGUGAAUCAAAAAGGAAAUAACACUUGAUUGGAGAAGAUGAGUAGUACGUUGGCUCCUGGUGACUAUAAAUCUUGGAAUGAGUCGCAAAGUAUCUCUAAGCCUUAGUUUCCUCAUCUGGAAAUUGCGGUGGUUGAACUCAGUAAUCAUCAAGUUUCCUCCCAUGUUUAUGGCUCUAUUAACCUAUAAUUGUGUUUCGAAAGGCAAGGCUCAAAGCCUGCCCUUUCUGUCUUUUGGCCAAGUCACAGCCUUAGGGUUAAAGCCUUUGCCUGACUUUUUACUUGUGGCCACCAGGUGGCAGGAGCGUGCCACAGUCGUUGGUCCCAAGCUCCAAGUGCGUGCAUCAGAAGCUGACUUAUCGAGGUAUUUGUCUGAUUUAGGAGGCCAGAGAGUGACUUUUUGUAAUCGCAAAACUUUUUGCUUGUGAAAACAUUCACCUUUAUGCAAAAUAGAAUCCUGAGAGUUAGUGAGGAUUAUAUUAAAAAUGCCCCAGGGACUUAACAAAGUGAACAAAUUGAGCGUGUUUCCUGCCCACAGGGAGCUCCCACUCUGAUGAGGGGCAUAAGUAAACAGAACACUCACAGAUUUGUAAAACUAAAGCUAUGAAUGUGUGCUGAGAACUGGGAGUGGGUGUCAAGAGUCCUGGAGGCGUGGUGACAAAAGGCUUGACUCACAGCCUGGCCCUGUGUGCUCAUUUGAAUUUAAGUUAGUUAAAAUCGAGCACAAAUUUAAAUACUCAGCUUCGCAGUUGCACCCACCACAUACCAAGUGCACAGGGGCCACGUGUGGUUGGUGGUCACCAUAUUGUAGAGCACCAAUGACAGAACAUCUCUGUGGCCACCCGAAGCUCUACUGGGUAAUACUGAUCUAGAAUAGAUUCUGAACCUUGGCCCUAUGAACAGUUGGAGCCUGCUGCCUGCUUGUUGUCAGAGGCUGUUCUGUGCAUUGUACCAGGGUUAGUAGCAUUACUAGAUGCCAGUAGCUGUGGCUCCCCUCUAGCAAGAUUAAAAGCAUAAUGUAUCCAAACAUUGCAAAAUGACUCACAGGGGAGCCAAAAUUGCCCUCAGUUGGGAGCCACUGGACCUUCAGAUGGAAAUAAGUUGUUAUUAGAGUUCGGAGAGGUGAGGACUUUGAGGGAGUCAACUAAGGUUCUCCACCUAGAAUGGAGGAUGCAGGGGAUGCUUCCCCCAAGAGUUGACUCCUGUGCCACCUCUGGUAAGGCAAAAACAAUGGCAUCAGCAAGACUCGACACCACUACUGGUCCCGCCUUUCAACCUGCUUUCUCCCUUCAGCGUCUAAGCCUGGUCCUGGCUGCUCCUGUGCUGGACUGAGACACCAUGGUGUCAACUCCCCUCUCCUUCGGUCUCCUUUUUAUUCUUCAGGUUACUAGUCUUUCGAUGUUGUUUAGGAAUCCCAUAUUCUGUCUUUCUUGUCCUGUUUAAGGUUCUUAUCGUUACAAAGAGAGCUAACUCAAACAAAAGAGACACCCACAGUUAGAAAGUCUUCAUGAAAUUCCAAGACAAGAGUCUAAGUUCUUUUAGGCUCCAUGGGAACUUGAACAAGGCUAUCAUUGCCCAAAAUCUGCUCCAUCUCGAGUUCUUCAUGACCUCACCUACGAUAUGUCUGCUGCCCUGGAAGGUAAGACCUGUUGUCUUACCUGACCCCUGAUCAAUUUCUUCCUGCCUUCAGUUGCAGGUGUUCUAUGAUGGCCACCCAGUUUCCCCCACAGUGGAGUAACUCUUGAUAGUCUUUCUGACUAACCUAUAUGACUUUUAGCUCAUCCUAAUUUAUGAUUGACCUAAUGUCACUUUUUUGAGUAAAGUCCUGUAAGUCAAGAGCUCCUAGUUUGUAGGGGAGUUCUUUUGGGGGGCUAGAACCUCCAUUGGUUGCACAGUCUCACUGUGUCUACUCAAGAGGAAUCCUUGGUAGCAGACCUAGGAAGGCUAGGUGCCCUGUACGCAGCUGGUCCAAUUUCUACUUCUAGGGUGACACUGAUUUCUUUCCCAGCCAUCCGUAGCUCUGAGAUUGAUCUACUUUCCUCUAUUUUCUCUUCUUUAAUGAACUUUUUACUUUCUCCCAUAACCUGGUAUAGUGCAGUACCUAUCAGAUAGUGGAUGCUUGGUGGAUGUUUGCUGGGUUGAAUCUCACUAGUCAAAGACCACCAGGAACACACCUGCAGUCAAACAAGAGUAGGUUUAUUAUGUUUGCUACUGUAAGGAGACAAAACUUUUGAUAAAAGAGCAUUGUAUGACUUAUUUAAAUAUUUGGGGGCAGGGUUGGCAUUAUGGCAUAGUGGGUUAAGUCACAGCUUGCAAUGCCAGCAUUGCUUGGCCCAGAUCUGAUAAUUGCAAGCCAUUUGGAGAGUGAAUCAACACAUGAAAGAUAGCUCUCUCUUUCUCUCUCCUCUGUGUGUGUGUGUGUGUAUGUGUCUUUGCUUUUCAAAUAAAUAAAUAAAUAAUCUAGCACAGCCAAAAAGCUCAGGGGCUUCGAUGCCAGUUGAUGCCAGUAUUCCAUACUGGAGCACCUGGGUUCAAUGCUGAGCUCUGGCUCUGACUCUGCUUUCCUGCCCCCCCCCCCCCCCCAGGCUACCGCGAUGACGCCAGUGAUUGAGUUCCUGUCACUUACAUGGGAAACCUGAAUUGAAUUCUCAGCUGCUAGCUUCGGCCCAGCUCAGUCCUGGCCAUUGCAGGCAUUUGAAGAGCGAGUGAGCAGAUGGAGUGCGCGCGCGCUCUCUCUGCCUCUCUGCCUCUCUACCUCUCAAAUAAAUAAAUAAAUAAACAGUUAAAAAUAAAAUAAAAAGAUGUGGGCUUCUGCUAGGCGAUUUUAAGGAAGCACCGAAGAACGGGAGGCAGUUUUAUAUGAGAAGCUGUAGGCCUGAGGGCAGUGGAGCCCCGUGCUGUCUCAGAAGUCCUUUUUCAGGAGGUGGAAGAACAGCAUGAGGCUGGGCACGCCAUUGGUAAGGAGGCAGCAAUUCCUCAGAAGUCAUUUUUUAGCUCUAGUGGGGCCCUUAUGCUGUGGGGCGAGAAACAUUAUUUAUCACAGUAGGACCAUAGGGUCGACUUCUGCUUUUUCAGUUAAAUGGAACAAAUAUCUGAAUGAAUGUUUUACCUUACCCAAAUGCAGAAGCAACGGCAGUGGGCUACAGGUAAGAGUCAGGUGACAUUUGUAAACCGCCAAAGUGGCCCCUCAUUUUGUUUGUCUUUCUGAUGAUUGCUUUUUUAUUGACUUUGAACAAAAUUGGUUUUUUGUAUAAGGAUAUAACAUAUUCA